CUCAUGAACAAAUGCUUUUUGUGUAUAUUUCAGAAAUGGUUUGACGAUUUCGGAAAAGAAUUAGUUGGAACCAACAAUGCUGCAUAAAAUUUGGAUGGAUAAGAUAUGUUCGUCGAAUCUAGAAUGCAAAUGGGUAGAAGAAGCACAUCAACCAACUGAAUAGCAAACAAAUUUAAUAACCAAAAACUUAUGACCUUUUUCCUAAACAAUAAACUACUUUAUUUCGAAUACCGAGUUCUGGAUUUGAUUAAUACGAACCGACCGUUCUUUUUUUGUAAUCAAUAAUUCCUUGUAAUUAAUCCAGUAAUCCUGUUGUAAUAAAUUGUCUAAAAAAUG
Molecule: long non-coding RNA, 336 nt
Organism: Rhagoletis zephyria (snowberry fruit fly)
Lineage: Eukaryota; Metazoa; Arthropoda; Insecta; Diptera; Tephritidae
Source: RefSeq, a predicted model, not a curated record